Molecule: transfer RNA, 72 nt
Filed under: Ornithorhynchus anatinus (platypus)
Lineage: Eukaryota; Metazoa; Chordata; Mammalia; Monotremata; Ornithorhynchidae
Rfam family: tRNA
About the family: Transfer RNA (tRNA) molecules are approximately 80 nucleotides in length. Their secondary structure includes four short double-helical elements and three loops (D, anti-codon, and T loops).
Source: Rfam by way of RNAcentral
AGCAGCAUGGCUAAGUGGAAAGAGCAUGGGCUUGGGACUCAGAGGUCAUGGGUUCAAAUCCCAAUUCAGCCA